Molecule: unclassified non-coding RNA, 335 nt
Filed under: soil metagenome
Description: partial contains 5.8S ribosomal RNA, internal transcribed spacer 2, and large subunit ribosomal RNA
Rfam family: 5.8S ribosomal RNA (bases 1-120)
Source: RNAcentral
GAUGAAGAACGUAGCGAAAUGCGAUAAGUAAUGUGAAUUGCAGAAUUCAGUGAAUCUUCGAAUCUUUGAACGCACAUUGCGCCCAUUAGCAUUCUAGUGGGCAUGCCUGUUCGAGCGUCAUUUCAACCCUUAAGCCCUGUUGCUUAGCGUUGGGAGCCUACAGUACUGUAGCUCCCCAAAGUUAGUGGCGGAGUCGGUUUCACACUCUAGACGUAGUAAUUUUUUCUCGUCUGUAGUUGAGCCGGUCCCCUGCCGUAAAACACCCAAUUUAUCAAGGUUGACCUCGGAUCAGGUAGGAAUACCCGCUGAACUUAAGCAUAUCAAUAAGCGGAGGA